This 802-nucleotide ribosomal RNA is filed under the name Clostridioides difficile. Its description in RNAcentral is "bacterial LSU rRNA". It matches the Rfam family "Bacterial large subunit ribosomal RNA", at positions 811 to 1617 of the family's 2925-position model. Lineage: Bacteria; Bacillati; Bacillota; Clostridia; Peptostreptococcales; Peptostreptococcaceae. The record is from RNAcentral.
GUGGGUAGCGGUGAAAUUCCAAUCGAGCCCGGAGAUAGCUGGUUCUCCCCGAAAUAGCUUUAGGGCUAGCCUCAAGGUGAGAGAUACGGAGGUAGAGCACUGAAUGUCCUAGGGGGUAUUGCACCUACCGAAGACUAUCAAACUCCGAAUACCGUCAUCGUAUACUUGGGAGUCAGACUGUGGGUGAUAAGAUUCAUAGUCGAAAGGGCAACAGCCCAGAUCGUCAGCUAAGGUCCCUAAAUGUAAGUUAAGUGGUAAAGGAUGUGGGAUUGCACAGACAACCAGGAUGUUGGCUUAGAAGCAGCCACUCAUUCAAAGAGUGCGUAAUAGCUCACUGGUCGAGUGAUCCUGCGCCGAAGAUUUCCGGGGCUAAAACUUACUACCGAAGCUACGGCAUCAGUAAUGAUGGGUAGGGGAGCUUCCCAUACGGGUUGAAGCAUGACCGUAAGGACAUGUGGACAGUAUGGGAGUGAGAAUGUUGGCAUGAGUAGCGAGAUGUGGGUGAGAAUCCCACAGGCCGUAAACCCAAGGUUUCCAGGGGAAGGUUCGUCCGCCCUGGGUUAGUCGGGACCUAAGCUGCGGCCGAAAGGCGUAGGUGAUGGACAACAGGUUGAUAUUCCUGUACUACCGAUAACCGUUUGAGAGAAGGGAUGACACAGUAGGAUAAGCUAAGCACACUGUUGGUUAUGUGUGCCCAAGCAUUGAGGCAGUCAAAGUAGGUAAAUCCGCUUUGAUAAUGCUGGGAUGUGAUGGGGAGCGAAAUUUAGUAGCGAAGUAGCUGAUUUCACACUGUCAAGAAAAG